This 274-nucleotide ribosomal RNA is filed under the name uncultured bacterium. Its description in RNAcentral is "partial 16S ribosomal RNA". It matches the Rfam family "Bacterial small subunit ribosomal RNA", at positions 523 to 796 of the family's 1533-position model. The record is from RNAcentral.
AUACAGAGGGUGCGAGCGUUAAUCGGAUUUACUGGGCGUAAAGGGCACGUAGGCGGUUGUAUGAGUGUGAUGUGAAAGCCCCGGGCUCAACCUGGGAAGUGCAUCGCAAACGAUACGACUGGAGUAUAUGAGAGGGUGGCGGAAUUUCCGGUGUAGCGGUGAAAUGCGUAGAGAUCGGAAGGAACGUCGAUGGCGAAGGCAGCCACCUGGCAUAAUACUGACGCUGAGGUGCGAAAGCGUGGGGAGCGAACAGGAUUAGAAACCCUUGUAGUCC